This 748-nucleotide ribosomal RNA is filed under the name uncultured cyanobacterium. Its description in RNAcentral is "bacterial SSU rRNA". It matches the Rfam family "Bacterial small subunit ribosomal RNA", at positions 8 to 796 of the family's 1533-position model. Lineage: Bacteria; Bacillati; Cyanobacteriota. The record is from RNAcentral.
AGAGUUUGAUCAUGGCUCAGGAUGAACGCUGGCGGUAUGCUUAACACAUGCAAGUCGAACGAAGUGCUUCGGCACUUAGUGGCGGACGGGUGAGUAACGCGUGAGAAUCUGCCUAGAGGUCGGGGACAACCAUUGGAAACGAUGGCUAAUACCGGAUAUGCCUUACGGGGUGAAAGAUUAAUCGCCUUUAGAAGAGCUCGCGUCUGAUUAGCUAGUUGGUAGGGUAAAGGCCUACCAAGGCUCCGAUCAGUAACUGGUCUGAGAGGAUGACCAGUCACACUGGGACUGAGACACGGCCCAGACUCCUACGGGAGGCAGCAGUGGGGAAUUUUCCGCAAUGGGCGCAAGCCUGACGGAGCAAUACCGCGUGAGGGAGGAAGGCUCUUGGGUCGUAAACCUCUUUUCUCAGGGAAGAACACAAUGACGGUACCUGAGGAAUCAGCAUCGGCUAACUCCGUGCCAGCAGCCGCGGUAAUACGGAGGAUGCAAGCGUUAUCCGGAAUGAUUGGGCGUAAAGCGUCCGCAGGUGGCAGUGUAAGUCUGCUGUCAAAGGUCAGGGCUCAACCCUGAACAGGCAGUGGAAACUACACAGCUAGAGUGCGGUGGGGGCAGAGGGAAUUCCCAGUGUAGCGGUGAAAUGCGUAGAGAUUGGGAAGAACACCGGCGGCGAAAGCGCUCUGCUAGGCCGCAACUGACACUCAUGGACGAAAGCUAGGGGAGCGAAUGGGAUUAGAUACCCCCGUAGUCC